UGUGGAGAGUUUGAAUUUUUACACAAGACCCUAACAGCUCUGCACAAAAAAUCAAAAUUUACGGAAAAUUGAAAAUACUUACUCUGUGGAACUCAUCCCAGAGUCCGUCAGUUCGGUGCUUGCAGAAUUCGACCUGAAAAUAGUUUUUCUUAACACCAUGCACCUUUAAAAAGUACUGUACCUCGUUUUGAAGAGAAGACUGCACGUGUUGCAUGUAAUUG
Caenorhabditis elegans is the source of this 221-nucleotide non-coding RNA. The record is from Ensembl. NCBI's taxonomy places the organism in Eukaryota, Metazoa, Nematoda, Chromadorea, Rhabditida, Rhabditidae.